AUGAACGCUGGCGGCGUGCCUAAUACAUGCAAGUCGAGCGAACGGACGAGAAGCUUGCUUCUCUGAUGUUAGCGGCGGACGGGUGAGUAACACGUGGAUAACCUACCUAUAAGACUGGGAUAACUUCGGGAAACCGGAGCUAAUACCGGAUAAUAUUUUGAACCGCAUGGUUCAAAAGUGAAAGACGGUCUUGCUGUCACUUAUAGAUGGAUCCGCGCUGCAUUAGCUAGUUGGUAAGGUAACGGCUUACCAAGGCAACGAUGCAUAGCCGACCUGAGAGGGUGAUCGGCCACACUGGAACUGAGACACGGUCCAGACUCCUACGGGAGGCAGCAGUAGGGAAUCUUCCGCAAUGGGCGAAAGCCUGACGGAGCAACGCCGCGUGAGUGAUGAAGGUCUUCGGAUCGUAAAACUCUGUUAUUAGGGAAGAACAUAUGUGUAAGUAACUGUGCACAUCUUGACGGUACCUAAUCAGAAAACCACGGCUAACUACGU
This 495-nucleotide ribosomal RNA is filed under the name uncultured bacterium. RNAcentral's name for it is "partial 16S ribosomal RNA". It matches the Rfam family "Bacterial small subunit ribosomal RNA", at positions 29 to 506 of the family's 1533-position model. The record is from RNAcentral.